GGUUUCUCAGAGUCACCUAAAAACAAGAGAACAGGAAGUGCUCAUUAGCGGUGAUUUCUGCAAGGAUGUGCGGCUGCAGCUAGUGAAGCCAAGAAGAUUCACCCUUAAAAUUCUCAAGGUCAUUAGAAGAAAACAGUGUGUGAAGUAAUGAAUAUGGUACCUGAUACAUAGCAAGUGCCCUGAAACACCCAAGCAAGGGCACCCAGAUGCUGACACAACAGUCCACGUGGAGAAGCACGGAAGAGCAAGGCUAGCAGCAGCUGCAGGAAGAAGGCCUGGUGCUUUACAGGUUGCCCCCUGAGGUUUGGGCUCUGAAAACACUAAGCACGGAAGUGCC
This is a long non-coding RNA of Chinchilla lanigera (long-tailed chinchilla), 337 nucleotides long. RefSeq lists it as uncharacterized. Lineage: Eukaryota; Metazoa; Chordata; Mammalia; Rodentia; Chinchillidae. The record is from RefSeq and is a predicted model, not a curated record. The transcript has 3 exons.